RNAcentral lists this ribosomal RNA (253 nucleotides) under uncultured bacterium. RNAcentral describes it as "partial 16S ribosomal RNA". It matches the Rfam family "Bacterial small subunit ribosomal RNA", at positions 524 to 776 of the family's 1533-position model. The record is from RNAcentral.
UACGUAGGGCGCAAGCGUUGUCCGGAAUUAUUGGGCGUAAAGAGCUCGUAGGUGGUCUGUUGCGUCCGCUGUGAAAACCCAGGGCUUAACCCUGGGCUGGCAGUGGAUACGGGCAGACUAGAGGUAGGUAGGGGAGAAUGGAAUUCCCGGUGUAGCGGUGAAAUGCGCAGAUAUCGGGAAGAACACCGGUGGCGAAGGCGGUUCUCUGGGCCUUACCUGACACUGAGGAGCGAAAGCGUGGGGAGCGAACAGG